RNAcentral lists this long non-coding RNA (253 nucleotides) under Nicotiana benthamiana. RNAcentral's name for it is "long non-coding RNA (NBEN_LNC039565)". Lineage: Eukaryota; Viridiplantae; Streptophyta; Magnoliopsida; Solanales; Solanaceae. The record is from RNAcentral.
GUGGCAGAGUGACCAACUUCAAGUUGUCAUAUCUCUCCUUUAAGCCUUUCCACAAGAUGAGUCGAUCCUUGACGGUGAGAUAUUCAAUCUUCAGACCUUCAUCAAGGUGAUGGCGCAAGAAAAUCAAGGCUUUAGCACAGUCUUGGGUGGAUGCUUUUUCUCUAUCUUUAAUGGCGUCUCCAAGACCCAUAGCAUCUAAGUGGAUUUCAGCAUCCAACACCCAUGUCAUAUAGUUCUUGCCCGAAAUUUNNNN